AUACGGAGGGGGCUAGCGUUGUUCGGAAUUACUGGGCGUAAAGCGCACGUAGGCGGAUUAAAAAGUUAGAGGUGAAAUCCCAGGGCUUAACCCUGGAACUGCCUUUAAAACUAGUAGUCUAGAGUUCGAGAGAGGUGAGUGGAAUUCCAAGUGUAGAGGUGAAAUUCGUAGAUAUUUGGAGGAACACCAGUGGCGAAGGCGGCUCACUGGCUCGAUACUGACGCUGAGGUGCGAAAGCAUGGGGAGCAAACAGGAUUAGAUACCCGAGUAGUCC
Molecule: ribosomal RNA, 274 nt
Filed under: uncultured bacterium
Lineage: Bacteria
Description: partial 16S ribosomal RNA
Rfam family: Bacterial small subunit ribosomal RNA
Source: RNAcentral